GUCGCCUGUAGCCCUGUGGCAGCCAGACACUCACCCCACCUAUUUGAAAAGAGCAGAGAUCCAGGAGAGACAAACCAAUCUCUGAGAGAAAUAAGAGAUGCCUGAAGGGAAGCAAGAAUGGAGAGCAUCCUUAAAAUGACUGAUUUACAAUUGGUCUCAUGAGACUUCUUCAGGCUCUCUUCUUGUUUGCUGCUGUACAUCUGGAGUGAGAGCCAUGCAGAGACAAGAUGGCAGGUG
This is a long non-coding RNA of Vidua macroura (Pin-tailed whydah), 237 nucleotides long. RefSeq lists it as uncharacterized. The transcript is spliced from 3 exons. The record is from RefSeq and is a predicted model, not a curated record. NCBI's taxonomy places the organism in Eukaryota, Metazoa, Chordata, Aves, Passeriformes, Viduidae.